RNAcentral lists this ribosomal RNA (731 nucleotides) under Bacillus sp. T-23. RNAcentral's name for it is "bacterial SSU rRNA". It matches the Rfam family "Bacterial small subunit ribosomal RNA", at positions 64 to 774 of the family's 1533-position model. Lineage: Bacteria; Bacillati; Bacillota; Bacilli; Caryophanales; Bacillaceae. The record is from RNAcentral.
GAGCGAAUGGAUUGAGAGCUUGCUCUGAAGAAGUUAGCGGCGGACGGGUGAGUAACACGUGGGUAACCUGCCCAUAAGACUGGGAUAACUCCGGGAAACCGGGGCUAAUACCGGAUAACAUUUUGAACUGCAUGGUUCGAAAUUGAAAGGCGGCUUCGGCUGUCACUUAUGGAUGGACCCGCGUCGCAUUAGCUAGUUGGUGAGGUAACGGCUCACCAAGGCAACGAUGCGUAGCCGACCUGAGAGGGUGAUCGGCCACACUGGGACUGAGACACGGCCCAGACUCCUACGGGAGGCAGCAGUAGGGAAUCUUCCGCAAUGGACGAAAGUCUGACGGAGCAACGCCGCGUGAGUGAUGAAGGCUUUCGGGUCGUAAAACUCUGUUGUUAGGGAAGAACAAGUGCUAGUUGAAUAAGCUGGCACCUUGACGGUACCUAACCAGAAAGCCACGGCUAACUACGUGCCAGCAGCCGCGGUAAUACGUAGGUGGCAAGCGUUAUCCGGAAUUAUUGGGCGUAAAGCGCGCGCAGGUGGUUUCUUAAGUCUGAUGUGAAAGCCCACGGCUCAACCGUGGAGGGUCAUUGGAAACUGGGAGACUUGAGUGCAGAAGAGGAAAGUGGAAUUCUAUGUGUAGCGGUGAAAUGCGUAGAGAUAUGGAGGAACACCAGUGGCGAAAGGCGACUUUCUGGUCUGUAACUGACACUGAGGCGCGAAAGCGUGGGGAGCAAACA